RNAcentral lists this ribosomal RNA (852 nucleotides) under uncultured bacterium. RNAcentral's name for it is "bacterial SSU rRNA". It matches the Rfam family "Bacterial small subunit ribosomal RNA", at positions 96 to 953 of the family's 1533-position model. The record is from RNAcentral.
UGGCGGACGGCUGAGUAACACGUAGGGACCUGCCCUUAUUUGGAGCAUAGCUCCGCGAAAGCGGGGAUAAAUCUCCAUAUUCCCCUCGGGGGAAAGAACAUAACUGUUCGAAUAAGGAUGGACCUGCGUCUUAUCAGGUAGUUGGUAGGGUAACUGCCUACCAAGCCUAUUACGAGUAGCUGGUCUAAGAGGAUGGACAGCCAGAGGGGGACUGAGACACGGCCCCCACUCCUACGGGAGGCAGCAAUCAGGAAUAGUCGGCAAUGGACGAAAGUCUGACCGCGCGACGCCGCGUGUAGGAAGAAGCUCUAACGAGCGUAAACUACUGUGGUAAGGGAAGAAGUCCCGCCUAUGGCGGGAUUGACGGUACCUUACUAGAAAGGGGCCGCUAACUGCGUGCCAGAAGCGUCGGUAAUACGUGGGCCCCAAACAUUAUCCGGUUUUACUGGGUGUAAAAAGUAGUGUAGGUGUCUUGAUAAGUUUCUGUUUAAAUACUAAGGCCCAACCUUAGGAAAGGCAGGAAAACUAUCUGGAUUGAGUUUUCUUUAGGGAGACUGGAACUUAGGGAGGAGUAGUGAAAUGCGUUGAUACCCUAGGGAACACUAGUGGCGAAGGCGAGUCUCUGAAAGAAAACUGACACUGAGACACGAAAGCUAGGGGAGCGAAGCAGAUUAGAGACCUGCGUAGUCCUAGCCCUAAACGCAUGUCUGCUAGCUGCAUCUUCACAUUUAUGUGGAGGUGUGGCGAAGGUAACCCGUUAAGCAGACCACCUGGGGAGUACGGCCGCAAGGUUGAAACUCAAAGGAAUUGGCGGGGAGGCACACAACCAGUGGAAACAUGUGGUUCAAUUCG